GUCCAUUGCCUCUCUCUUCCGCUUCAGUCUUCUUCCUCAGCCGUUCUUCUCUCUCUUACACUUCACUCUUUCUUCGUAGAUCUUGCCGUCCUUAUGCUUGUGUUAUGAAGAAAAUGGUAAAAAUUCCUAUCACUUAUGCUUGUAGAAAUAUUUUUCUAAAUCUCUUUCUCUAGAAUUCAUUUCUCGUCAAAGCUCCAGUUCUCAAAUCUUAUUGAUAAAGGAAAACUCUACUCAGCCCCCGGUUUUCCAAACGCACUCCACACUCCUGACGUGGCCGAACUCGGUCCGAGCCACAUCACGGGUUAGUGAAAUUGAAACCCUCGCUGCUUCAUUCUCCCGCUUCUCCCUCAGAUCUCUGCUCCUCCCUCAGACCUCUCACUCGAAGCUUCAUUCUCCUUCUUCGGCACGGCAUUUUGUCCCCAAAGGCCAAAAGGACUUACUGCAACAUAACCCUUCCUCUUGCGUCCUUCGCUGCUCUCUCUUGCUCACACAUAUCGAUGUUUCGACGAAUAAAACAGAUCUUAUCCAAUCUGAAAGCAGAAGUGGUUUCAAAUUUCGGAGUCCGUUGUCGAUAAGUUCUUAAGUUUCGGAACGGAAACAUCAAAGGAAAGGACAAGGGCAUGAAUUCAUGAGGCAAAGGAAUGAAAAAUUGAGUAUUUAUUUUCUUACAAAUUUAGAACAUUGAGUAUUUAUUCGUGCUGCAGCUUUUUUUUUUUUUUUUUUUUUAUCAUCAUCACUGGCGAGGAAUUAGUUUCUUCUUUGGAAAUUGAAUGAAUUAUUAAACAAUAAUUGAGGUAGUAAUUUGCUUGAAUUUUGAGUACAUGGAAGCUUGCUUAUUCUUUUUCCUUGCACUAGUGUUCUUACCUUGGUGUUUUUUCCUCCUGUAUAUCUUGAGUGACCAUUCUCUAAUAUUGGUGAUGUAGACUUCAUUAGAGUAGAGUGAUUUCUUCUUUACUUCUUCUAAAAUGCCUUAUUAUAUAAAUAAUAUGUUUUCCUUCUUUACUGUAAAAUUCUACUGGAAUUGAUGUCACUUUUGUCUCUAUAGGAUCCUCUGUCUUUGGUUAGAAGGCUUCUUUUGGUGGGUUUGGAUCCACUUCUACUCCAGCAAGUCCCUUUGGAAGCACAAAUCAACAAUCACAACCAGCAUUUGGGAGUAGCAUAUUUGGUUCCUCCUCACCAUUUGGUGCAACAAGUCAGUCUGCGUUUAGUGCAAGUAGCACCCCUGCUUUUGGUGCUACAAGCACUCCUGCAUUUGGUGCUAUGAGCGCCCCUACAUUUGGUGCUAUGAGCGCCCCUGCCUUUGGUGCUACAAGCACGCCUGCUUUUGGUGCUAUGAUCACCCCAGCCUUUGGUAUAAAGAGAAACAAAAUGUCAAUUCUUCAUUUGGAUAGAUAUACUUCAAUCAGUAGUAUUUGAGAAAAUCUUGACAAAGAGAAUGAAGUUCGGAAGAGGGAAGAUGUUGUAUUGUUGCAUGAGUAUGAAGCUAAAAAAGAAAAGGACAAAUUAAUAGAGACAGAAUAUGCUUCACAAGCAAGAGGUCGAACUUCGAAGAAUGAUAAUAGAUAAUAGGAUUGUACGUAUAUUGUUGUGUCUAUAUUGGGUUGUAUCUCUUGUAAUAGUUUUUGGUUGGUUUUGAAUGUAGAUGUAUCAUGUUAGUUUUAAAUGUAAAUAGAAUGAUUGGAUCCUAACAUGUAUAAUAUAUUAUCUAUGAAUUAUAUUAUGACAACUUAUUAUGGAUGUUAGGUUCACUUUUCUGCA
Long non-coding RNA from Carya illinoinensis, 1758 nucleotides. RefSeq lists it as uncharacterized. NCBI's taxonomy places the organism in Eukaryota, Viridiplantae, Streptophyta, Magnoliopsida, Fagales, Juglandaceae. The transcript is spliced from 3 exons. The record is from RefSeq and is a predicted model, not a curated record.